GAUUAGCUAGUUGGUGGGGUAACGGCUCACCAAGGCGACGAUCAGUAGCUGGUCUGAGAGGAUGAUCAGCCUCACUGGGACUGAGACACGGCCCAGACUCCUACGGGAGGCAGCAGUGGGGAAUAUUGGACAAUGGGAGCAAGCCUGAUCCAGCCAUGCCGCGUGGGUGAUGAAGGCCCUAGGGUUGUAAAGCCCUUUCGGCGGGGAAGAUAAUGACGGUACCCGCAGAAGAAGCCCCGGCUAACUUCGUGCCAGCAGCCGCGGUAAUACGAAGGGGGCUAGCGUUGCUCGGAAUCACUGGGCGUAAAGCGCACGUAGGCGGAUUGUUAAGUCAGGGGUGAAAUCCUGGAGCUCAACUCCAGAACUGCCUUUGAUACUGACGGUCUUGAGUCCGGGAGAGGUGAGUGGAACUGCGAGUGUAGAGGUGAAAUUCGUAGAUAUUCGCAAGAACACCAGUGGCGAAGGCGGCUCACUGGCCCGGUACUGACGCUGAGGUGCGAAAGC
This 504-nucleotide ribosomal RNA is filed under the name uncultured bacterium. RNAcentral describes it as "bacterial SSU rRNA". It matches the Rfam family "Bacterial small subunit ribosomal RNA", at positions 239 to 760 of the family's 1533-position model. The record is from RNAcentral.